AUUAAACGCUGGCGGCAUGCCUUACACAUGCAAGUCGAACGGCAGCACGGGGGCAACCCUGGUGGCGAGUGGCGAACGGGUGAGUAAAGCAUCGGAACGUGCCCUGGAGUGGGGGGAUAACGUAGCGAAAGUUACGCUAAUACCGCAUAUUCUGUGAGCAGGAAAGCAGGGGAUCGCAAGACCUUGCGCUCUGGGAGCGGCCGAUGUCGGAUUAGCUAGUUGGUGGGUAAAGGCCUACCAAGGCGACGAUCCGUAGCGGGUCUGAGAGGAUGAUCCGCCACACUGGGACUGAGACACGGCCCAGACUCCUACGGGAGGCAGCAGUGGGGAAUUUUGGACAAUGGGCGAAGCCUGAUCCAGCCAUGCCGCGUGAGUGAAGAAGGCC
RNAcentral lists this ribosomal RNA (385 nucleotides) under uncultured bacterium. RNAcentral describes it as "bacterial SSU rRNA". It matches the Rfam family "Bacterial small subunit ribosomal RNA", at positions 29 to 416 of the family's 1533-position model. The record is from RNAcentral.